Molecule: ribosomal RNA, 322 nt
Filed under: uncultured stramenopile
Lineage: Eukaryota
Description: partial large subunit ribosomal RNA
Rfam family: Eukaryotic large subunit ribosomal RNA
Source: RNAcentral
AUAUAAAUAAGCGGAGGAAAAGAAACUAACUAGGAUUCCCCCAGUAACGGCGAGUGAAGCGGGAAAAGCUCAAGCUUAAAAUCUCCAUUCCUAGAAUGGCGAAUUGUAGUCUAUGGAAGCUGUGGUCAGCAACGUUCUGUGAGCCAAGUCCCUUGGAAGAGGGUAGCAGAGAGGGUGAUACUCCCGUAUUCUGCUUGUAGAAUGGUUGUGUACGACCCGUGUUCCAAGAGUCGAGUUGCUUGGGAAUGCAGCUCAAAGGAGGUGGUAAAUCUCAUCGAAGGCUAAAUACUGGCUGAAUACCGAUAGCGAACAAGUACCGUGA